ACCCUCUUGUAGCCCUUGGAUCUUAAGCAGACGCUAAGUUUGCUUCUGCCUCGGGCCGGCACUGAAUAUGCAGAUUCCAAUAAAAACAGCCCCAUUUCCACACAAUUUUGACUUAACAUUGUUUCCCCUGCUCUUUUAUGUCUCAUGUCGCCUUUGGUGUGUCCAUUUUAAAUCUAGAGUUGGUGUGAUGGUUGCUGAUUUACAGCUGAACAGCUGUUUUUACUAUUUGAAAUCACAUUACAAGUCUUUUACUGUGACACUGUUUGCCCUACCUUAGCGGCAAGGGGCGUUGCUCAUGAGAUGGUGACGUCACGUGCGCGGUACGCCAUUGCAGAGCGCUCAAAGAAAAACAUAUUUUCCCUCCUCUUUUUCAAAGCUGUUAUCCAAUUAACGACCUUACUGAGCGUUUCCACCAAUAGGGUGUCGCGCUGCUAAGCUGUGCGCAGCUGCUCGUUUGCCCGGAAGAAGAGACAGCCGCCAUCAUUUCACCACCACGCAGCUUCUGACCUCAUGCCACCGCCGUUGCGCCGCAAAAAUAUUUUAGUUUUCUGACGUUUUCUUCCCCUGGACUGCCUAAAACAAAUACGUGAGGGAGAAGGAUUUCACAGAUUUUGGUCAUGCCAAGGUCUUUUCAGAAUUACUAUCAGACAAUGGGAUUGCUGGACCAGAUGAAACAAAAGGUACUGAUCCAAAUGUGUGUGGACCACGGCGUACCAGAGAAAACUACAACUCUGCUGUGAACCAUCUGCUAAUCAACAAUACAACAGACGUUGAUGGAGUAAAGUUUGGGUGGUGACACAGCUAAGACCUGCAUAUCUUUUCAAGAAAGUUGGUGUUCCUGACAUUUUCAAACCCCCAAGUUUAAACAACGUCAAGAAAUUAAUUCUCAAGGACUUCAGCAUUCUGUGUUGUUGUGAACAUCAUCAGAAUGAAGAGAAUGAGAAGCAAACCAGUGUCAAGAAGAUUACCCACUAAAGACGGAAUCAAACCUUGGCAGGACAUUUUGCGUGGAGGAGACGAUGAACAGGAAAAGAUGGUGCAGCAACAACUGAUCCAAAUCCAGCAGACUCGCUGAUGGCAACAUACCUACAGACAGGGCCCCAAAACUGGCUCUAGUCCAAGAAUUUCAGUAAACAAAUUAAAUAAAUGAAUAACACAUUAAA
Long non-coding RNA from Fundulus heteroclitus (mummichog), 1163 nucleotides. RefSeq lists it as uncharacterized. Lineage: Eukaryota; Metazoa; Chordata; Actinopteri; Cyprinodontiformes; Fundulidae. The transcript is spliced from 7 exons. The record is from RefSeq and is a predicted model, not a curated record.